AGGCACCAAACGCAUCUAGGCGAGGCUCAGAAUAAUAAUGUACAGCAAGAAGUCUCCAUGUUCAAAUAGCAACUGCAGGUUAAUCUGGACCGAGUGUUUGUCCUUCAGCUUCUGGUCUGCAUGACAGCUAUUCACUUGAAAUAGCAUUUCAGUGGGGGAAAAAAAGAAAAAGGAAGAUGUCCCUCAUGACAGUGCUUUCAGCCAACCUUUGGAAGGCGUUGGUUUACCCUUAACAGGAAAGGUGCAGCCUCUCUGAAGGACCCAUCUCAUCCGUCUUUGGUACCCGUGAUGUUAUGAAGCAGUUUGGAGAAGAAAGUGCAGAAUGACUGCUCUGAAUGCAGCUGAAGUGGAGGAGCGUUAAGGAGAGCUGGGUAUAAUUACCUGAGCUGGAGCUCAGCCAGCACGGUGCUGAUCUGCGGAACAGGAAAGUCCUGACUCUGCACAAGGGAUCCAGGCAGAUUUGAAAGAAACUGCAAUAACACAGGUGGGAUUUGAGUAUCUGGGAAGGUAUUUGAGAGUGAAUGAACCCCCAGCUAUGACCUACCGGGAGCGUGACAGGAAACAAAGCAGCUAGAUCAAGAACAGAGGAGUAUAACGGCAGUAUAUGUGGCACAGGCUGCCUUAUACGCAGUCAGCGCUACCUGAUAAAACUGUAAGCAUUUAAGUGAACUAAAUUCUUGGAGUUCAUUUAACCCUCUACCCAAUCCGAAUGACAUGAGCACAGAGGAAAACAAGACAAGUUAUCUCUCUUUUGCCCUUAAAUAGCGAUGAAUAAGAACUGAGUCAGAGCUGAAAAUUAUGGUGCGUCCUUAAGGUAACACCAGGUUAAUUAGCCAUCAUAAAAGGAGAGCUUGUGCAGGAGGAAGGAUUUCUCCCUGCUGGGACACUCCUUGACUGAGGAGACCUGGUCUUACCUGGAAGGAUGUUACCUUUACCUCCAUAGUCCUUAAAGGGCAGUUAUUCUACCACUUAGCCACAAACUCCAGGCUGCUUCAGCACUGAGCAAGCUUUUCAUUUCUCCUUCAUUGAAACCAAGCCUUCGCAAAUCAGAAAACUGAUACAAGCGACAGAAGGAUGAUAAGGGGUUUGCUGCCAGCCGCGGUUCAUUUUAAGGUCCUCCUCUGCUUUUCGUUGUGUUUGCUGGGAGCUAAACGUGUACUCAGGUGGCUGCCAUUGAUCUGAUUGUCCGCAAAGCUUUUCGGUGCUUCUGAACUUUCUCUUUCAGGCAUUCUAAAUGGUUCAUCAGUUUUGUCAAAAAAAAAAAAAAAAAAAAAAAGGAAGAAAAGUGAUUUAAAAAGGAAUGCAAAUGGAAACGUGGAGAGCCGGUGGAUGGGAGCAGGGAAGGUGGCUCGGAAAGCAAUGUGAAAAACAAGGCAAUGAAAUGAGGGCCUGACAAGAAAGUGGGGCGUGAAGAAAUCCAAGCAGGACAGCAGAAGGGGUUUGAAACUCUGCCUUUUUCUCACUGGAAGGUUUUCUCUUUUCUUACUUUCUCUGAGCUCUUUUUUCCCCCCCUUCAGCUCAUUUGUUUUAUGCCAAGAGGCUUAUUUGUCUUUCCUGGCUUAUUGGUGGUGUAUCUGGAUUUAACCGCCCUGAUAAAUCAGCUCCUCCAAAGACUGAGAUCUCAGCAUGCAAAUGAGGAUGGAUUUUCAGCUAAUUUAAACUGAUACACAUCUGAUGAAGCAACGUUCAGCCACGUGGAAUUCCAGUGCUUGAGCAAAUGCAUAACAAUGAACAUGAUUCCCCGUCAACGUGUCAGAAAAAGCCAUCGUCUGCUUCUUCCAAAGAGAUUAUUUUCCAUUUGAAGCACACACCUAUAAAUGUCUGCAUUACGCAGUUUAGAAAGGUUAAGCAUGGAAAGGUGUUAUGCUGACACAUAGGCUCCAAGGGCUUGUCUUCUACUGAGCGUAUUACUUUUGCAAAGCGAUAAACCUUUCAUUAUUUUUAUCAGCCCGAAUGUGUUGUCCGAAUUGUGUUUGAUUUGCUUUCCGAGUACCGUGUGUGCUUACUCUGCUUUAGCCGACAAAUGUGAGCCAGGGUCAGAUUGCAAGCUCAGACAAUAGUCUGCAUUUCUCAGCACCUUGCAGGAUUUGGCCUUUCAAUGGUAUUUUUUCCCCCUAUUUAUUAUUGAACACAGAACGAGAGCGCCGUGGAAUGGAUUUGUCUUGGUCGCUGUUCUAAUAUAAGUGGCUUGGACUCUGCAAAAUACAUUUUAAAGGCAGCUUUGCUUCUGAUCUUAGGAAAAGAACUGAUGGGAUUUGGUUCAGCACCGCUACUUUAAAACAAAAAAAGAGAUAAUUAGAAUCCAAGUUUCAGUCGUGCUGCCUUAGAAAGCGAAACAAAAUCAGUAACAAUCCGAAAUCGUGCCCCUUUUGCUGCUUCUCGCUGUAGCAGAGAAUGCCCAGUUCCCUCAAACGUUUCUUAGGGGUGAGGAAUGAGCUGGCAGGAAGGACCUCAGCCACACCUCAGUUCUUUCGUGGAAAGCCCGGUUGCCUACUUUAACUCACCUCGAUUGGAUUUGCGACUGGAUUUGCACUGCUUUGAGGUGGAAGCGUGGCCUUCCUGCCGGGUACCCUGCUGAGAGCCUCCAUGAGAGGGAUGGAGCAGCCAGGGGCAUUUGGUGCUCCCCAGCAAUGCUCAUCCGUUGGGGCUGAGGGUGACACCUGCGUGGCAACAGUAAGGAAGAAAAUGUCUUCUCUAGGCUACUGCCACUCCUGCCUCUGGGUUCCUCUUCUUCCUCCUCUCUUUUUCCUCAGCUUUUCCAUCAUUCUCUCAAUCACAUCCUUCUUUCAUCCAUUUCCAGAUCUUGCUUCUUGGUGGGCUUCUUCCUCUCCCCCUCUACCAUUCCAGCCUCCAGAUAAUCAGCUGUCGACUCACUAAAUACUGACUGCAUCGUACCAUUGCUGGCCCUCUCAGGCAGGAGAGGUUCAGCUCUUGAGAUCAUUCUUCGAGGAUGUCAGCAAACUCGGGUAAAUGUCGUAAGACUGAUGUCACGGUUGGAAGGCUGCCCACAAAUGGUUUUUAUCAAUAUUUCUUUAAAAAGAAUAAAGUUUGAGCUCUUGUGACUGUAGAGGUGGUCUGAAUAUGUCAUAUGGGUUUAAAUAAUUUCAAAGAUAAUGUGAUUUCCAAGAUUCAUUCCUCAUGACAGAAGAGGAAAAUAAGAAUGAAAAUGGAAAAGGACAAAAAGAAAGAGCUAAUUGUGGGGGAAAAGCGCGGAAGUAGAAAUGGAAAGAAAAACAGGCAUGGAGAAGGGUGAGAAAUACAGAGUGCUCACUUCUUUUUUUUACUGAAAAGUGUGAAACUAAAUGAAAGAAAAGAAACAAAAGCCUAAAGAUUGUAGGAAAAGAAAAAAAAAAAAAAAAAAGAAAGACAAGUGAGAUAAGCUGGAGAUUGGGACUGAAUUCAAUUCCAGCCCUGCAGAGAAAAGUUCCAGCUAUUGAAUUACGGUCUAGAUUCUUUAGAUUGCAGCGUUGUAAGUGAAUAGAUUGGCUCUCUUCUGUGCUUACACAACACCCCCCGACUUCGGGCCUACCACCACACGAAGGCUUACUGACGCUAAGAAUAAAAGGUUGAAGUAAUUCCUAUGCACUGGAUGACUCGGAGGAACCUCUGCAUGAAGUGGCAGAAAUAAAGACCGUAUUAAAAUGCAAGUGGUCAAAGCAGAUGAGCAAUGGUUGCAAGGUCAACGUCAAUUCCUACCCAGCUCCUUGUCACAUAGCACAAAUUUAAUCUGAGCUUGUCCAUUCUUGACUGAACAAAUGCAAAACGAUUUUCAGAGGUUUGGCCAAAUUGAGAGGCUCACUGUAUGGACAGCAAAAUGUACCUCCUUGAUGCCAGCAUUACUGAUCCCUUCAUACUUUAGAUUAAGGAUAUGCUAGGAUUUCCUACAUAUAUUAUAUAUAUAUAUAUAAUGUUAAUUUUUAAAGGCAAAGUGGUAUCUUUUUCUCCUAAGUUGGUUACUUUGGCUAGAAUUUUCCAAAAAUAUUAAAAUGAUGUCAAUAUCCUGAACUACAAUAAUAUAACGCUUAAUACCUGCCAAUGUUCUAAGUAGCUGAAAACAGUGACUUAUAAGGAAAACUAAAAACCUCAGCUACAGAAAGCCUAGUGUUCCUGAUCCAUAAUGUCACAAUGUACACUUACUUCAUAAAUUCCAGCCAAAGAGCACAGUUCACCCUAAAUGCAUUUGCCCUCUCUCGGCCUGCUGUGAGGGUGAGGUUACCACAAGGUACACAGCAGCAGGGCUCGGGACAUGGGAGGAGGCAUUCAGAACCCCACAUGGGAAGCAGGAGAGAGCAGCAGACCCUGUGGUAUCUUGGAUGCCAGUUUCAUGCUUAAUGCCAUCAUUCUCUCCCUGCUGGUUUUAUGAAUUAGCAGGAACUGAAGUGUAGUGUGUACAUUCCAGUUGUGCCAGGGAAUGCAGCCAUCAGCAAGGUCUCCCUGUGACAUACAUUGCGCAGACGCACACUAUUAUUUUCCCAAAGGCUUUCACGACUCGGGACUCCAUUUACUGUUGUAUCACUUAUGCCAGCAAUCGAUUCAUGCAUGACAGAGCCCAGCCUACUCAGAGAUCCUGAAGACUUGGAGGAUCGUGGCUUAAAAGACUAAGUUAAAAAUUAACUCGUGGCAGCUUUUGCUGAAUUCACCUCACCAGCUGAUUUAUCAUUUAGCACAGGACCGUGGCUGUCUUUGAUUUAUGUCCAAAACAGAAGAGUGGUUUUUUCCAGCUGUUGUGACAUCCCAAGGCUAUGCAUGUGUACAUAAAAUGUAUGUAAAGGAGAGGAGCUCUGUUUUCCAAGUGUGAAAGGGAAACAAUUCUGACUCAGAGUGUACGUCAUCAGCAUCCCUUGCCCUUUGUUCCCAAACAUGGUAAGGAGCAAUAGAGCAGUUUGUGGGCUACAAUAUGACAUCAUGCAAGAAUGCACAGCUCUCAUUUUUUUAUGCAUAUAUGUAUAUAACAAUCUCAGUGGAGCAUCUAAAGAAUUAAGGGUUAUGAAAUAUCAGGCAACAGCAACAUCUAAAAGGUAAAUGACACAGCGGAUAGGAAUCUCCCUUCAAAUCGCACAGCACAUGCAACCAUUCUGGUCUGUGACAACUACACCACUAGAGUUUUUUCCAUGUUUAUCCAAAGUAGCUUAGUAAGCAUAUCAUGCAUUCCAUUCACUGAGCGUGUGUACAAAAAUACAGGGUAUGAUGACCCUAAGCAGCAUCUGUAGUGCCUGCAAGCUUGUCAGAAAAGAGAAUGGCUGAUGUUGCUGCUGCUGUAAACUAUUUCAAUGAGUUUUUAUAACAGAAGUGGUAGAAAUAGCUCCCAUUCAACUGCGGCUAUGCAGCUGUUACUUCAGUGGAGCUGUACCUCUGUCACUUUGUUAUAAAAAGGUAAGAGCUGUGCUCCUGCUCUGUGAGCUAAUGAGAAAAGGUUGUCAAGAAUGGCACAAGGCACAUGUAUUAUUUUCAGUUUAGAACGAAUCCAUUUAUCUUUUGUGUUUGCUAAAAAGGGCGAUUUCAGGGUUUUUCUGGUGACUGGAAAAAAGUGUAAUGCAAGAUGCAGGCUUCCUUCUGUCCCAUAUGUCUUAAGUAUACAAAGCUUUUUUUAGAGAAUAGCUUUCUUUCAGGGCGAACUAGCUCUUACUAAAAAUAAUCCUUAUGAGAUCAGAUAAAAUGAGAGGAAUGUUGCUGGCACAUACUGGUACCUUAUUUACAAAAAAAAAAAAAAAAAAAAAAAAAGAAGAAAGAAAGAAAGAAAAAAUGGCUAAAUCAACCUAACCCGUGCCUGUAGUACAAGGAAGGAGCUGAAGAACUGUCCCCAUUGCACAGGACCUUGGUUGAAGGCCGAGAGCUAUUUUGGUUGCUGUGGUCUGCGGGCAUGGAGAUGUAAAGCAGGAGGAACAAGGCCAGCACAAACAACCCCACCCACCCUAACCCCAUGGGACCGGCUGCAGAGAUGAGCAUGGCCAUGUGCUGGAGAUCUCUCAAUGCAUGGGGAUGAUCCAUGCAUCCUUCUGAGGCCUGGGCCUUCCAUCUCACGUGACUGUGAAUUUGCUUUAACCACAACCACAAAGCACAACAGGAUCCCUUAGCUCUGCUUCUGUUUUGUUACUGAAACCCUUCC
This 6106-nucleotide long non-coding RNA is filed under the name Gallus gallus (chicken). The record is from RNAcentral. Lineage: Eukaryota; Metazoa; Chordata; Aves; Galliformes; Phasianidae.